UAACGCGUAAGUAACCUACCCCUAAGUGGGGGAUAACUUGCCGAAAGGCAGGCUAAUACCGCAUAUUCUGGUAAGCAUUUAGCUUAUCAGCAAAGCUUUUGCGCUUGGGGAGGGGCUUGCGUCUGAUUAGAUAGUUGGUAGGGUAAUGGCCUACCAAGUCAGUGAUCAGUAGCUGGUCUGAGAGGACAACCAGCCAGACGGGGACUGAGAUACGGCCCUGACUCCUACGGGAGGCAGCAGCAAGGAAUUUUGCGCAAUGGGCGAAAGCCUGACGCAGCGACGUCGCGUGGGGGAUGACGGCCUUCGGGUUGUAAACCCCUUUUCCCGAGGAAGAAAUAUGACGGUACUCGGGGAAUAAGUCUUGGCUAACUACGUGCCAGCAGCCGCGGUAAUACGUAGAAGGCGAACGUUAUCCGGAUUUACUGGGCGUAAAGAGGGUGUAGACGGUUCUUUAAGUCAGUUGUGAAAUCUCCCGACUCAAUCGAGAGACUGCAAUUGAUACUGGGGAGCUUGAGGGCAUCAGAAGAAAGCGGAAUUCACGGUGUAGCGGUGAAAUGCGUAGAUAUCGUGAGGAACACCAGUGGCGAAGGCGGCUUUCUAGGAUGCUCCUGACGUUGAGGCCCGAAAGUGUGGGGAGCGAAACGGAUUAGAUACCCGUGUAGUCCACACCCUAAACGUUGAAUACUAGGUAUAGGGGGUAUCGACCCU
This 708-nucleotide ribosomal RNA is filed under the name uncultured Chloroflexota bacterium. Its description in RNAcentral is "bacterial SSU rRNA". It matches the Rfam family "Bacterial small subunit ribosomal RNA", at positions 111 to 840 of the family's 1533-position model. Lineage: Bacteria; Bacillati; Chloroflexota. The record is from RNAcentral.